This 356-nucleotide long non-coding RNA is filed under the name Elaeis guineensis (African oil palm). RNAcentral's name for it is "long non-coding RNA (EGUI_LNC054386)". The record is from RNAcentral. Lineage: Eukaryota; Viridiplantae; Streptophyta; Magnoliopsida; Arecales; Arecaceae.
GCAAUAUUUGCUAGCAGGCCAGGCAAUACACUCAAAUGCAUAUUUCUGAUAGUAUGCAUUAUCUAUACGGAUUAAGACGGUGUAUUGGAGUCAGAAGGCCCUUGACAGCUAUGCAGGAGUCCCAAACUAACAUUGUUGCUCUCUAUCCUAGCCCCGAUUAGACCAUCUCAAAUCGCCGAUUUUCAGCUUUCUCAAGAUGGUUUGUUCACGAUGAAUUCUUUCUAUAAGUUUCUCAAUUGCGGAGGUCUUAAUGAGGUGUCCAUGUGCUAAAUCUAUAUGGAAAGCUCCUUCAUUGGAGAGAGUACAAGUCUUCUUAUGGCUUGCUUCAAAGAAUAAAUUACACACGAAGGAUGUUC